UCUUGCAAUGAAUUGUUUAAUAUAUAUCACCUAAUGGCACUGCUUCUUUAGUUGAACCCUGGCUGGUACCAGAGGUUAGGUGGUUAUUUGGUGACAGCCCAUUAACUAUUUUUCAGUAAGAGUAACCCUGCUUUAUGAACCAGAAUAAUAAAACUCAAUCUUCAACUCUGUGUAACAAAUGACCCUAACAUUGUUUGAGUGUCUAUAAGCACAUAAUCUGUCUGGCUUCUCUGCAGCAUAACCACUGAGAUCCCCAGUCCAUUAUAUUUCUCUUGCUGAGCAGCAUGCAUGGUAUACCUAAGAAAUAAUUAUAAAUAAAUACUGUCUUGUUUCAGAAUAAAGUCCAGGCAGAUUUUUUUAAACAAAUUUCAAGAGAAGCAAAGUGAUCUCGAGGUAAAGUCAUCUGCCAUCAGUGUUAGAAGUUGACACUUCCACAUGUGUAAAAAUGUAUGUGCCUAACCUUGCAGCUCAGUGCAUGCUCUGAGUGAACGCAGGCUGAGUGAGCAGAGGACAAACAGACCCGGAAUUGCAGGCCAGCAGGAAAUGAAAAAAUGGAGAGUUUUUCUUAAAGGCAAAUUCACCACUUAAGAAAUAAGACAAGCAGCUCAGGGGAGCCUGGGUGACUCGCACAAUGGAAGCCACAGCCAUGAGAUGGAAGAGGAGCAUGAUAAGCCAGAGAACACAGGAGAGCCAUACACAUGGAUGGAUCCUGGAAACAGUCAUUACCAUCUUGGAUAAAGGCUCACAAGGCUGUAUCUUCACUGAUCUAUGGUUGUGGGACUAUAUGUGAGCUUUUUCUUUGUUUUCUCCAUCUUCCAAGUUCUCUAUAAUGAGAAUAUCAUCAUAAGAAUAGCUACAAUGUAAAAAAAAAAAAAAAAAAAGCUAUAAUAUAUAAGAUUUCAAGGUGGCCUAAAAUUAUGCUAUUCAUUUAAUUCUCAAAAUAGCCAUAUAAAAUAAAAGGAUGUUAUUACCCUAGUUUAACACAUGAAUCCUGCUGAACGCUAAGGAAAACAAAAAACCCAAGCUAUGGAACUCUUGAAAAAUAGAACUUGGAUCUGAAUCUAUGUCUGUAUAAGAUUAAGUUUCAGCCACAACUAAUGUAUGUUACUCCUUUUGUAAAAAUUAUUUAUUUUAGGGACGACUGUGUGGUCCAGUGGUUGAGCAUUUGCCUUUGGCUCAGCUUGUGAU
Molecule: long non-coding RNA, 1188 nt
Organism: Canis lupus familiaris (dog)
Lineage: Eukaryota; Metazoa; Chordata; Mammalia; Carnivora; Canidae
Exons: 3
Source: RefSeq, a predicted model, not a curated record